AAGCAUCGCCUGAUAGGCCGGGAGCGAUUCCGUUUCCUCUCCGGCUUGCAUUCAGAUGCCAGAGUGACCCCUCCCUGCGCUUUCUGCCUGCCCUGAUUCCCGUAGCAGCUCAGAUUGAAUAAGGGAGAACAUUU
Molecule: small nucleolar RNA, 134 nt
Filed under: Naja naja (Indian cobra)
Lineage: Eukaryota; Metazoa; Chordata; Lepidosauria; Squamata; Elapidae
Description: Small nucleolar RNA SNORA31 (ENSNNAG00000007796.1)
Rfam family: Small nucleolar RNA SNORA31
About the family: ACA31 (SNORA31) belongs to the H/ACA class of snoRNAs which are thought to guide the sites of modification of uridines to pseudouridines.
Source: Rfam by way of RNAcentral